CCCUGUUCACCAAGAAAUGAUUAAAUCUGGUCUAUGUAUGUGUGACUGACAAUGAGACAGUUCUCCAUCCAAGUCAUAAUCAGUUUGGGGACAACCCCUUAAUGUUAUAAAUAUCCCUUUUUCAUGUUUUAUGAGGGAUCAAUAUAAGUUAUAAUAUAUUUGUUUGUACAAAAGGGCUCAUAUUUUCUCAAAGAACUAUAUAUCUAUCUGGUAUUAAAUG
This 220-nucleotide long non-coding RNA is filed under the name Mytilus galloprovincialis (Mediterranean mussel). Lineage: Eukaryota; Metazoa; Mollusca; Bivalvia; Mytilida; Mytilidae. The record is from RNAcentral.